Molecule: ribosomal RNA, 440 nt
Filed under: uncultured bacterium
Lineage: Bacteria
Description: bacterial SSU rRNA
Rfam family: Bacterial small subunit ribosomal RNA
Source: RNAcentral
CUACGGGAGGCAGCAGUGGGGAAUAUUGCGCAAUGGGGGCAACCCUGAUCUAGCCAUGCCGCGUGAGUGAUGAAGGCCUUAGGGUUGUAAAGCUCUUUCAGCUGGGAAGAUAAUGACGGUACCAGCAGAAGAAGCCCCGGCUAACUCCGUGCCAGCAGCCGCGGUAAUACGGAGGGGGCUAGCGUUGUUCGGAAUUACUGGGCGUAAAGCGCGCGUAGGCGGAUUGGAAAGUCAGAGGUGAAAUUCCAGGGCUCAACCUUGGAACUGCCUUUGAAACUACCCGUCUGGAGUUCGAGAGAGGUGAGUGGAAUUCCGAGUGUAGAGGUGAAAUUCGUAGAUAUUCGGAGGAACACCAGUGGCGAGGGCGGCUCACUGGCUCGAUACUGACGCUGGGGUGCGAAAGCGUGGGGAGCAAACAGGAUUAGAUACCCCUGUAGUCC